AGGAAGAAGCUUGCUUCUUUGCUGACGAGUGGCGGACGGGUGAGUAAUGUCUGGGAAACUGCCUGAUGGAGGGGGAUAACUACUGGAAACGGUAGCUAAUACCGCAUAACGUCGCAAGACCAAAGAGGGGGACCUUCGGGCCUCUUGCCAUCGGAUGUGCCCAGAUGGGAUUAGCUAGUAGGUGGGGUAACGGCUCACCUAGGCGACGAUCCCUAGCUGGUCUGAGAGGAUGACCAGCCACACUGGAACUGAGACACGGUCCAGACUCCUACGGGAGGCAGCAGUGGGGAAUAUUGCACAAUGGGCGCAAGCCUGAUGCAGCCAUGCCGCGUGUAUGAAGAAGGCCUUCGGGUUGUAAAGUACUUUCAGCGGGGAGGAAGGGAGUAAAGUUAAUACCUUUGCUCAUUGACGUUACCCGCAGAAGAAGCACCGGCUAACUCCGUGCCAGCAGCCGCGGUAAUACGGAGGGUGCAAGCGUUAAUCGGAAUUACUGGGCGUAAAGCGCACGCAGGCGGUUUGUUAAGUCAGAUGUGAAAUCCCCGGGCUCAACCUGGGAACUGCAUCUGAUACUGGCAAGCUUGAGUCUCGUAGAGGGGGGUAGAAUUCCAGGUGUAGCGGUGAAAUGCGUAGAGAUCUGGAGGAAUACCGGUGGCGAAGGCGGCCCCCUGGACGAAGACUGACGC
This 683-nucleotide ribosomal RNA is filed under the name uncultured Pseudomonadota bacterium. Its description in RNAcentral is "bacterial SSU rRNA". It matches the Rfam family "Bacterial small subunit ribosomal RNA", at positions 70 to 746 of the family's 1533-position model. Lineage: Bacteria; Pseudomonadati; Pseudomonadota. The record is from RNAcentral.